CUGGACACUCCUGGCUGCACCUGCUCCAAGUUCUUGUCUCCACUCGGUGAAGUAAUUGGAGGAACACCCUAAGGGCGUACGGGAAAGCAGGAUUUAGGUGAUGAAUAUCUUCCGACAAGUUGGAUUGUGUUGAUGGCUAUAUAGUUAUGAAUGGACCAAAAGAAAAAAUCCAGGUAGGUAAAGCCGCCGCCUGCACUGCCAGCAUCCCAUAUGGGCGCUAGUGACCUAGCCGUUCCACUUCCAAUCCAGCUUUUUGCUGUGGCCUGGGAAAGCAGUGGAAGAUGGCCCAAGUCCUUGGGCCCCCGCACCUGCACCCACAUGGGAGACCUGGAAGAAGCUCCUGGCUCCUGGCUUCAGAUCUGCGCUACUCUGGCCAUUGUGGCCAUCUGGGGAGUGAACCAGCAGAUGGAAGACCUCUCUCUCUCUCUCUGCCUCUGCCUACUUGUACUCUGCCUUUCAAAUAAAUAAAUAAAUCUUUUAAAAAAAUCCAUGGAACCGGACC
Molecule: non-coding RNA, 502 nt
Organism: Oryctolagus cuniculus (rabbit)
Lineage: Eukaryota; Metazoa; Chordata; Mammalia; Lagomorpha; Leporidae
Source: RefSeq, a predicted model, not a curated record